AGUGAACGCUGGCGGUAGGCCUAACACAUGCAAGUCGAACGGCAGCACAGUAAGAGCUUGCUCUUACGGGUGGCGAGUGGCGGACGGGUGAGGAAUACAUCGGAAUCUACUUUUUCGUGGGGGAUAACGUAGGGAAACUUACGCUAAUACCGCAUACGACCUACGGGUGAAAGCAGGGGAUCUUCGGACCUUGCGCGAUUGAAUGAGCCGAUGUCGGAUUAGCUAGUUGGCGGGGUAAAGGCCCACCAAGGCGACGAUACGUAGCUGGUCUGAGAGGAUGAUCAGACACACAGGAACAGAGACACGGUCCAGGCUAUUACGGGAGGCAGCAGUGGGGAAUAUUGGACAAUGGGCGGAAGCCUGAUCCAGCCAUACCGCGUGGGUGAAGAAAGCCUUCGGGUUGUAAAACCCUUUUGUUGGGAAAGAAAAGCAGCAGGUUAAUACCCCGCUGUUCUGACGGUACCCAAAGAAUAAGCACCGGCUAGCUUCGUG
This 492-nucleotide ribosomal RNA is filed under the name uncultured bacterium. RNAcentral describes it as "partial 16S ribosomal RNA". It matches the Rfam family "Bacterial small subunit ribosomal RNA", at positions 29 to 507 of the family's 1533-position model. The record is from RNAcentral.